This 424-nucleotide ribosomal RNA is filed under the name Verrucomicrobiota bacterium. RNAcentral describes it as "Verrucomicrobia bacterium partial 16S ribosomal RNA". It matches the Rfam family "Bacterial small subunit ribosomal RNA", at positions 355 to 776 of the family's 1533-position model. Lineage: Bacteria; Pseudomonadati; Verrucomicrobiota. The record is from RNAcentral.
UGAGGAAUAUUGGUCAAUGGGCGAGAGCCUGAACCAGCCAAGUAGCGUGCAGGAUGACGGCCCUAUGGGUUGUAAACUGCUUUUAUAUGGGAAUAAAGUGAGGGACGUGUCCCUUAUUGCAUGUACCAUACGAAUAAGGACCGGCUAAUUCCGUGCCAGUAGCCGCGGUAAUACGGAAGGUCCAGGCGUUAUCCGGAUUUAUUGGGUUUAAAGGGAGCGUAGGCUGUUUGUUAAGCGUGUUGUGAAAUGUAGGAGCUCAACUUGUAGAUUGCAGCGCGAACUGGCAGACUUGAGUGCGCACAACGUAGGCGGAAUUCAUGGUGUAGCGGUGAAAUGCUUAGAUAUCAUGACGAACUCCGAUUGCGAAGGCAGCUUACGGGGGCGCAACUGACGCUAAAGCUCGAAGGUGCGGGUAUCGAACAGG